GACGAACGCUGGCGGCGCGCCUAACACAUGCAAGUCGAACGAGCGAGAGAGAGCUUGCUUUCUCGAGCGAGUGGCGAACGGGUGAGUAACGCGUGAGGAACCUGCCUCAAAGAGGGGGACAACAGUUGGAAACGACUGCUAAUACCGCAUAAGCCCACGGGUCGGCAUCGACCAGAGGGAAAAGGAGCAAUCCGCUUUGAGAUGGCCUCGCGUCCGAUUAGCUAGUUGGUGAGGUAAUGGCCCACCAAGGCGACGAUCGGUAGCCGGACUGAGAGGUUGAACGGCCACAUUGGGACUGAGACACGGCCCAGACUCCUACGGGAGGCAGCAGUGGGGAAUAUUGCACAAUGGGGGAAACCCUGAUGCAGCGACGCCGCGUGGAGGAAGAAGGUCUUCGGAUUGUAAACUCCUGUUGUUGAGGAAGAUAAUGACGGUACUC
This 439-nucleotide ribosomal RNA is filed under the name uncultured bacterium. RNAcentral describes it as "bacterial SSU rRNA". It matches the Rfam family "Bacterial small subunit ribosomal RNA", at positions 28 to 480 of the family's 1533-position model. The record is from RNAcentral.